This 460-nucleotide ribosomal RNA is filed under the name uncultured bacterium. Its description in RNAcentral is "partial 16S ribosomal RNA". It matches the Rfam family "Bacterial small subunit ribosomal RNA", at positions 338 to 795 of the family's 1533-position model. The record is from RNAcentral.
CCUACGGGAGGCAGCAGUGAGGAAUAUUGGUCAAUGGGCGCGAGCCUGAACCAGCCAAGUAGCGUGAAGGAUGACUGCCCUACGGGUUGUAAACUUCUUUUAUAAAGGAAUAAAGUGAGGCACGUGUGCCUUUUUGUAUUUACUUUAUGAAUAAGGAUCGGCUAACUCCGUGCCAUCAGCCGCGGUAAUACGGAGGAUCCGAGCGUUAUCCGGAUUUAUUGGGUUUAAAGGUAGCGUAGAUGGGUUGUUAAGUCAGUUGUGAAAGUUUGCGGCUCAACCGUAAAAUUGCAAUUGAUACUGGCAGUCUUGAGUACAGUUGAGGUAGGCGGAAUUCGUGGUGUAGCGGUGAAAUGCUUAGAUAUCACGAAGAACUCCGAUUGCGAAGGCAGCUUACUAAACUGCCACUGACAUUGAUGCUCGAAAGUGUGGGUAUCAAACAGGAUUAGAUACCCCUGUAGUC